UACGGAGGGGGCUAGCGUUGUUCGGAAUUACUGGGCGUAAAGGGCGCGUAGGCGGUGGAUCAAGUCAGGCGUGAAAGCCCCGGGCUCAACCUGGGAACCGCGCUUGAGACUGGUGCGCUAGAGUUCGGGAGAGGAUGGUGGAAUUCCCAGUGUAGAGGUGAAAUUCGUAGAUAUUGGGAAGAACACCGAUGGCGAAGGCAGCCAUCUGGACCGACACUGACGCUGAGGCGCGAAAGCGUGGGGAGCAAACAGG
Molecule: ribosomal RNA, 253 nt
Filed under: uncultured bacterium
Lineage: Bacteria
Description: partial 16S ribosomal RNA
Rfam family: Bacterial small subunit ribosomal RNA
Source: RNAcentral